UUUAAAAAGAAAACGGAGUGAGUAAAAUUGUGAGUGAUAAACAUGGAAUCACAUAUCAUCAUCUGUAAGGCUUAAUUUGCACUAAUCUAAAAUCAUAGACAUGUAGAACAAAUAGAAAAAUAAUCGAUAAAAGUGAAUAAUUAUUAUUAUUAUUAUAAAAAAUAGCCACAAAAUAACAUGGUCACACUUAAUUACCUUGGUACCAAUAAAAACAUUUAAGCCAUAUAAUUUUAUCAAACUAUCCAAAAACCAGUAAGUCUGUUCCUUGUGGUAUUUUAUCGAUUAUCAUGGCUAGCCUCCAAGCAAAAUAUCAAUCUCCUCAGGCAACCAUUGCACCUCACUGGCCUGCUCCAAACCACUACCUCGCAUGCGGAUGUCAUCAUCCUGCAUCAGAGAUCUGAAGCUGAUUAUGGCUUAUCUUCAGCCAAGGCUACAGUAGAUCAUAGCAGAUCAAACAGAUCUAGGCUUCUGCUACAGACAUCAAACAGUAGCCGCAUUAUAAGGCUAGGGAGCUCGCCUGGGGUAGGUAGACGAGAAAGCUAGAUCCAAAUUUCUCAGUGGGAGAACUCGAUCGACCCACCGUGCCACCACAGCCACCGGGUUAUAGCAAAAUUACCUCUGGUUAAUCACAUCGCCGGUAGCAUGUAUCAGCCACUAGCCAAGGCCCUAGCAGUGGAGACCGGCACGUCUCUCCUUGCAGAUCUGAGUCACCCACCGGUACCUUCAGAUCUGUCGCGGUCAACGCCAUAGAGGGAUGCGCCUCCGGUAGAUCUGCGACAAUUAUAUUGCCGUCCUGGAGUCUAUAGAGAACAGUCACCGGCGCAGGGCGGCGACGGACCGCCCCUCCCAUCAGUCAGAUCAACUCACCAGUUUGUCAUCAGGCCUCGACAGAGGCCGGCCAUGGAAGUCAGCUACCAUCGCACCGUCUCUGCAUCGGGAAAUUCGGAAGGAUGACCGGGCCUCCGCGCCUCCAACUCCUCCAUUCACAGGAGGCGCAGAAACCGGGAAAACUUGCCCCGAGCACCAGAAGCUCGCCCGAGCGCGUCAAACGCACCGCCGAAGGUACGGCGGCAGCGUCGCGUACGAGGGAAGGAAGGGGCCUGCGGCGGCGGCCAGGUGGUGAUGCGGCGUCGGACAGGGCAUGAGGCAGGCGGCGUAUAGGGUUUGAGAGGCGUGCAGAGGAACGAGAGAGAUGGGGAUUCCGGCUCUGUUCGAUGCCAA
This 1221-nucleotide long non-coding RNA is filed under the name Triticum aestivum (bread wheat). RNAcentral's name for it is "long non-coding RNA (TAES_LNC012269)". Lineage: Eukaryota; Viridiplantae; Streptophyta; Magnoliopsida; Poales; Poaceae. The record is from RNAcentral.